RNAcentral lists this ribosomal RNA (253 nucleotides) under uncultured bacterium. RNAcentral describes it as "partial 16S ribosomal RNA". It matches the Rfam family "Bacterial small subunit ribosomal RNA", at positions 524 to 776 of the family's 1533-position model. The record is from RNAcentral.
UACAGGGGGUGCAAACGUUGCUCGGAAUCAUUGGGCGUAAAGCGCACGUAGGCGGUUCGUUAUGUCGGAUGUGAAAGCCCUUGGCUUAACCGAGGAAGUGCAUCCGAAACUGGCGAGCUAGAGUACGAAAGAGGAUCGCGGAAUUCCCGGUGUAGAGGUGAAAUUCGUAGAUAUCAGGAGGAACACCAGCGGCGAAGGCGGCGCUCUGGGCCGGUACUGACACUGAGGAGCGAAAGCGUGGGUAGCAAACAGG